AAACUUACCUGGCAGGAGAGAUACCUGAUCGCGAAGGUGGUUUCCCCAGGAUGAGGUUUAUCUAUUGCACUUUGGAUGUGCUGACCCCUGUGAUUUCCCCAAAUGUGGGAAACUCAACUGCAUAACUUGUGGUAGUGGGGGACUGUGUUAGCACUUUGCCCUG
Leopardus geoffroyi (Geoffroy's cat) is the source of this 163-nucleotide small nuclear RNA. RefSeq annotates it as U1 spliceosomal RNA. The record is from RefSeq and is a predicted model, not a curated record. NCBI's taxonomy places the organism in Eukaryota, Metazoa, Chordata, Mammalia, Carnivora, Felidae. The transcript has a single exon.